RNAcentral lists this ribosomal RNA (253 nucleotides) under uncultured bacterium. Its description in RNAcentral is "partial 16S ribosomal RNA". It matches the Rfam family "Bacterial small subunit ribosomal RNA", at positions 524 to 776 of the family's 1533-position model. The record is from RNAcentral.
UACAGGGGGGGCAAGCGUUGUUCGGAAUUACUGGGCGUAAAGGGCUCGUAGGCGGCCAACUAAGUCCGACGUGAAAUCCCAAGGCUUAACCUUGGAACUGCGUCGGAUACUGGUUGGCUUGAAUUCGGGAGAGGGAUGCAGAAUUCCAGGUGUAGCGGUGAAAUGCGUAGAUAUUGGGAGGAACACCAGUGGCGAAGGCGGCUCACUGGACCGGAACUGACGCUGAGGCGCGAAAGCGUGGGGAGCGAACAGG